UACAGAGGGUGCAAGCGUUGUCCGGAAUCACUGGGCGUAAAGGGCGCGUAGGCGGCCUGAUAAGUCGGGGGUGAAAUUCUGCGGCUUAACCGCAGGACGGCCUUCGAGACUGUCGGGCUUGAGCACGGUAGAGGCAGGUGGAAUUCCCGGUGUAGUGGUGAAAUGCGUAGAUAUCGGGAGGAACACCAGUGGCGAAGGCGACUACCUGGCCUGUUUCUUGACGCUGAGGCGCGAAAGCUAGGGGAGCAAACGGG
Molecule: ribosomal RNA, 254 nt
Filed under: uncultured bacterium
Lineage: Bacteria
Description: partial 16S ribosomal RNA
Rfam family: Bacterial small subunit ribosomal RNA
Source: RNAcentral